This 253-nucleotide ribosomal RNA is filed under the name uncultured bacterium. RNAcentral's name for it is "partial 16S ribosomal RNA". It matches the Rfam family "Bacterial small subunit ribosomal RNA", at positions 524 to 776 of the family's 1533-position model. RNAcentral also lists the same sequence under 1 other name. The record is from RNAcentral.
UACGAAGGGGGCUAGCGUUGCUCGGAAUUACUGGGCGUAAAGGGAGCGUAGGCGGACAGCUAAGUCAGAGGUGAAAGCCCAGGGCUCAACCCUGGAAUUGCCUUUGAUACUGGCUGUCUUGAGUAUGGGAGAGGUGUGUGGAACUCCGAGUGUAGAGGUGAAAUUCGUAGAUAUUCGGAAGAACACCAGUGGCGAAGGCGACACACUGGCCCAUUACUGACGCUGAGGCUCGAAAGCGUGGGGAGCAAACAGG